Molecule: long non-coding RNA, 982 nt
Organism: Lycium ferocissimum
Lineage: Eukaryota; Viridiplantae; Streptophyta; Magnoliopsida; Solanales; Solanaceae
Exons: 4
Source: RefSeq, a predicted model, not a curated record
GAGUUUCUAUCACUGGAUCCUUUCAGAGAUUAUUCAUUUUGUGGCUAUCUUGCAAAGGCUAUUCGCUUGGUCUAAUGUUUCUGGUCUAAGCUCCAGUUGUCGGCAACUCCAAUCUGGAUUUAUAUCAUCCGCUCAUUUUUUUUUUUUUUUGGAAGUGAGCUUCUUUAACAUAUGGGAUUCGAUAAAUGUAUCUUGAUGAUACGCGAUGAAGGAUUAUGGGAGGUGAAUAAACAUACUCUGUCCAAUUUAUAUGAUACACCUUCCAUCUUGAAAUGUCCAAAAUAUUUGACACUAUUCAGUUAGUUAAAUAAUUUUGAAUUCUUCAAAAUUGUUAGUUAUAUAGAGAAAUUUAGUCUCCGUGUCUCAUAAGUAUGAUAAAGAGGUGUCCUGCAUUCUGAUGGUACCUGCAUCACCGUUGAAAUUGAAUUGGAAAUCAGUGCAAUUAUGACGAAGAGUGUCUUGCAUUGUGGCACUAAAAUAGUAGUGCUCCAUGUCACUUUUGAACUGGCAAUUUGUAUAACUAUGAUAAAGGAUGUCUUGCAUUGUAGUGAUAGUCUCUGUAUUACUCUUGAAGUUGAAUAAGAAAAAUUAACGGUGAAUGCAGAUAGUAAGGAAGGCUUCCUUGCAAGUAAGAAAUAAUACCAAGCUUCCCCAAUGAAGAUUAUAUGGAAAAGGGAUUCUAAUCGAAGUUCUCUACCUUUAUGGUUAAUGGAACCAUGGCGUUUUCUGAAGCUGGAAGUAGCAGCAGAGGGGGUCGGGACAGGCUAGAUCACUACCACAGCAGUGUGGUAAUUGUGGCAGAGCGCACUAUGGGCGAUGUCAGUAUGGGUCGAGAGCUUGUUAUACUUGCGGCAGCCCAGAUCAUUUUAAGCCUUUGUUGGAUACGAAACUGAGUUACACUGUGGCUUCCGUGUUUUUUCCUUUAAGACCAUAUGAAGGGAAUUUCAAACAACUUUUAAGAUUUUGAUGCACGUGUUUGGAG